UGCCGAGGAAAACCUCGGCAGUUAACUGCAGCCGGUUUUUGAAUUCUUCGACAGUUAACUGCCGAGGAGGCA
This 72-nucleotide microRNA precursor is filed under the name Medicago truncatula (barrel medic). Its description in RNAcentral is "MIR2629 microRNA precursor family". It matches the Rfam family "MIR2629 microRNA precursor family". Lineage: Eukaryota; Viridiplantae; Streptophyta; Magnoliopsida; Fabales; Fabaceae. The record is from Rfam by way of RNAcentral.